Chenopodium quinoa (quinoa) is the source of this 973-nucleotide long non-coding RNA. RefSeq lists it as uncharacterized. The transcript is spliced from 3 exons. The record is from RefSeq and is a predicted model, not a curated record. Lineage: Eukaryota; Viridiplantae; Streptophyta; Magnoliopsida; Caryophyllales; Amaranthaceae.
ACGUGGACACGCCAUUUUGUAUUCCAGCCCAAGUCCCUCAAAGUCUCAAACCCUACUGCUCCUUUCAAUCCUCUCUAUCUCUCGUCACUCAACCCAAAUCGUCGCUGACUGACCACCAGUCCACCACUCGUCACCGCCUGACCGUCGUUCAGCACUCAUCGUCGCCUGACCACCGUCGCAAGUCUCAUUCUCAGUUAUCUCUUUGACUCUUUCUCGAAUUUAACGAAACCCCCUUUAAUCCUCUAUUCCUCUGCCGUCACUCUUCGCUUGUCGCCACCGUCCACCGUCGCUCGUCGGCCUCGCUUUUCACCGCUGGUGCUCUCAGCCUUCUCAUUUGUUUGUUGCGUCUGCGUGGGCCUGACUGUCGCACUGUUCAUUGUCGUCGCUCGUCGCCCGCCAUUGCUGGUCAUCAUUGUUGCCCUGUUCAAGAAUGUCUUCUAGUGGUUCUAGUGCCUCUGGUUCGUGCAAUGUCAGUGGUAGUAGUAAUUCAUCUGAGUCUAUGAAAGACCCCUACCCUUUGUGAAAGUUUGUUGUUAAGGGUGAUAAAAUAUCGGGUGGUGGAGGAAAUUAUAAUUGGAAAUGUAACUUUUGCGGCAAAGUUAAAAAUGGUUCAUACACUAGAGUGAAAGCUCAUUUGCUAUGUGAAACAGGGAAAGGGAUUCAAACUUGUAGUAAAGUGAACAUUGAUGACCUUGCUAAACUAAGAAAGCUUCAUCGUGAAUAUGAGGAUUAUAAAAAAUCUUUGUUACCAAAAGUUCCACCUUUUUCAAAUGAACCCAUAUCUUCUCACACAUCAACUGAAGCUACAUCAGUUAGACUAGGUUCAUCUGAUAAUGUAAAGAAGAGGAAAUCAAACAAUACAAUUUCUGAUGCUUUUAAUAUGAAAUCUCGUGACCAGUUAGAUUCUUAAAUUGCUAGGAUGUUUUACACAGGGGGGUUGCCUUUUAAUCUUGCUAGGAACCCUUACUAUGUU